Molecule: transfer RNA, 72 nt
Filed under: Rhinogobius cliffordpopei
Lineage: Eukaryota; Metazoa; Chordata; Actinopteri; Gobiiformes; Gobiidae
Description: tRNA-Val
Rfam family: tRNA
About the family: Transfer RNA (tRNA) molecules are approximately 80 nucleotides in length.
Source: RNAcentral
CAGAGCGUAGCUAAAAUAGUAUAGCACCUCCCUUACACCGAGAAGGUACCCGUGCAAGUCGGGUCGCACUGA